CCUACGGGAGGCAGCAGUAGGGAAUCUUCCACAAUGGACGAAAGUCUGAUGGAGCAACGCCGCGUGAGUGAAGAAGGGUUUCGGCUCGUAAAGCUUUGUUGGUCGUGAAGAAAGAUAGAGGUAGUCACUGGCCUUUAUUUGACGGUAAUUACUUAGAAAGUCACGGCUAACUUCGUGCCAGCAGCUGCGGUAAUACGUAGGUGGGAAGCGUUGUCCGGUUUUAUUGUGCGUAAAGGGAGUGCAGGCGGUUCAAUAAGUCUGAUGUGAAAGCCUUCGGCCCAACCGGAGAAUUGCAUCAGAAACUGUUGAGCUUGAGUGCAGGAGAGGAGAGUGGAACGCCAGGUGUAGCGGUGAAAUGCGUAGAUAUAUGGAAGAACACCAGUGGCGAAGGCAGCUCACUGGUCUGCAACUGACGCUGAGGCUCGAAAGCAUGGGUAGCGAACAGGAUUAGAUACCCCUGUAGUC
RNAcentral lists this ribosomal RNA (465 nucleotides) under uncultured bacterium. Its description in RNAcentral is "partial 16S ribosomal RNA". It matches the Rfam family "Bacterial small subunit ribosomal RNA", at positions 338 to 795 of the family's 1533-position model. The record is from RNAcentral.